RNAcentral lists this ribosomal RNA (494 nucleotides) under uncultured bacterium. RNAcentral's name for it is "partial 16S ribosomal RNA". It matches the Rfam family "Bacterial small subunit ribosomal RNA", at positions 28 to 507 of the family's 1533-position model. The record is from RNAcentral.
GACGAACGCUGGCGGCGCGCUUAACACAUGCAAGUCGAACGGAAAGGCCUGCUUUCCCUUGUGGAUUGCGGGUACUCGAGUGGCGAACGGGUGAGUAACACGUGAGUGAUCUGCCCCCAACUUGGGUAUAAGCCUGGGAAACUGGGUCUAAUUCCCGAUAGGACUGCAGGGUGGUGCCUGUGGUGGAAAACGAUUUUCUAGUGGUUGGGGAUGAGCUCGCGGCCUAUCAGCUUGUUGGUGGGGUAAUGGCCUACCAAGGCGGCGACGGGUAGCCGGCCUGAGAGGGUGGACGGCCACAUUGGGACUGAGAUACGGCCCAGACUCCUACGGGAGGCAGCAGUGGGGAAGAUGGCACAAUGGGCGGAAGCCUGAUGCAGCGACGCCGCGUGGGGGAUGACGGCCCUCGGGUUGUAAACUCCUUUCGACCGCGAGGAAGCCACCUGGUUGGAAGGGUGGUGACGGUAGUGGUAGAAGAAGCACCGGCUAACUACGUG